UCUCUCUCUCAACUCAGACCCAUUCUCUAUUCUAUCAUUGUACCUCACGACCCUCGAUUUUUCUUCAUCUUGCUGAAACCCAAAUCACCAAAACCGUGAGACCCAGCCCCAACACUUGCGAUUUCUUUCAUUCUCAGCUUCGAUCAUAUGUGUCUGGAGUUAAUCUCUCUCAAGUCAGACCCACUCUCUAUUCUUUCUCUCUACCUCGCAACCCUCAAUCUCUCUUCGUGUUGCUGAAACCCAAACCACCGAAACUGUGAGACCCAGCCCCAGCUUUUGGUUUGUUCAAUCUGUGGGAGCAUUGAAGUCUUUGGGAUUUCUGAGCUAUUAAUUUCUUUGGUUUCAGGCUGAUAAUAGCAAUGCCUUGGAGAAAAUGAGUACAGCCACGGCAGAGAAUUCUAAGGAAUCUACGGCAACAAUCGCUCAGGGGGCUACGUCGGCUGUGAUGGUGGAUAAGUAGAGGAGUUCGUUCUCUUCGUGGAGUGUAUACCAGAAGCGUAACAACCGGGUGACGACCUUCAAGACCUCGAUACUGUGGUGGAUGAUUCUCUCACAGUCUGCUCAGGUGCUUCAGGGAUCCUCAUGCAAUAGCAACAAAUAGAGAGAAUAUAUUGUGUUCUCUUUAGGGAUGAGAAGACUUCUGAAGAUGAAACCUAUUGAAAUAGUUUAGCAAUGGGUUAAAUUAUGUUGAGGAAAUCUGCACUUUUUGGUAGGGAAUAUGCACUUUUUGGUUUGGAGUUGAUGGUGCUUUGAGGCUUCUGUGUUGAACUCAGGUGACAAGUUGGUAUUUGGAGCAAACCAUGCUUAUGUAUCCUUUUAUUUAGGUUUUGGGUGUUUACUUCAAUUAGUUCUAUGGUGUUGAAUCUUGGUUAGAGCAUGAGGAGAGUAGUUUUUUAAAUGGGUUUAAAUUUUUGUUUCUUUGCAUGUCAUAGUUUUCUGCAGCAUUGGGUUUAUUUUUACACAUAUUUCCUUCUAAGACCCUCAUUUCUUGGUUUCUUUUAAUUUUAAUUUUCGGGGUGUCUACAAGUGGGACAUGAAGAAAACCCUCAAUUGGUCUCCAUUGUUGUAGAUAUCUAUCACUGGUUGCAUAUAGGGGCUAACCUAGAGAAAUUAGGUUAAGGAAUAAAGUCUCCUUUGAUUUCUGGAGGAGCUUGACUGGUACACCUUCAAUGUGUUCAAUUGAAAUUAAAAAUAUGGGCCUACUCUGUAGCAAAAACCAUCAUUUCAGAGGAGUAGAGGCUGAAGAGAAUGCACACACGAUGUAGAAAUUGAAAGGAGAAUUGAGGAAGAAACAAAAGUUGAAAAGCAUACCCAGAAACUUCUAUUACUUGCUUCCAUGGAAGAGAAAAGAAGAAAACCAUGAAGAGAUCUGGAAGUUUGGACUCUCGUUGGACUGAAAAAGAAGUGAAAGAACAGCAAAGGAAAUUGAGUGUUAACUAGACAAAAGACAUGUUACUUUUGUAGCCUUCUAAAGCAAAAAAGGGAUUACUUAUAGGAGAAAGGAAAUUGAGUUUAUAA
This is a long non-coding RNA of Carya illinoinensis, 1518 nucleotides long. RefSeq lists it as uncharacterized. Lineage: Eukaryota; Viridiplantae; Streptophyta; Magnoliopsida; Fagales; Juglandaceae. The transcript has 7 exons. The record is from RefSeq and is a predicted model, not a curated record.